AGAGAGAGAGAGAGAGAGAGAGAGAGAGAGAGAGAGAGAGAGAGAGAGACUGGUCCUUGGCGUUGGCUGUCACAUCCACAAACCCUCACUUCCUUUCUCCAUCGACUGCACUUGAGUGACAUACAGCGCAGCUCCGCGCGAGAACAGCGCCCAGAGAGCCUUUCUGACAGAUGCGACCCGCCUGGCUGGAAAGUUUCCUCUAACCACUAACACCCACUUCCCAUUCCCGCAAGCUGUCGGGCUGGCCGGGUCCUCUCUCCGUCAGGGAAGGGCCAGGCUGCCUGAUGGCAGAACCAGUCCCGCGGCUAGACUCCUCCAACCCCAGCGGAUAGGCUGUCCAAGGAAGGUACUCCGGCGUCUCCAGAAAGCCAGCAAGAUUCCCUUCUCGCUGCAGGGACCUCGGCACCGGAGGUUCCUCCUAAUCAAUAUAUCAUCAGAGGGAGAGAGUGAGCGUCCAUGGAAUCCUCAGCUGUCCCAGGGAACCUGAAUGUCAGGAUGCCUUCUGACAAAGCUAAAACUUAGAUGCGAUUCUUCCCUCUGUCUGUUAUAUAUCUGCAUUUUCUUAGCAGUGCACAUUCAUUUUAAACAAUACGGCCUAGCUUGAUGGCCCAGUUGACAAAGUGCCUACUGUGUAAGUGAGAGAAGCUUCAUUCAGAUCCCGAGGACUCACAUACAGUGCCGGACACGGCUGGGCACUCUGUAACUUCAGCCUUGGGGGGAUAAAUGAAGACAGACAACUGGAUCACUGACGAUCAUUGGCCGGCCAGCCUCAUUGAAUCAAUAAGCUUCCGGUUCAUCGUGAGACCUUGUCUCAAAUAAUAAAGAAAAGCCUACACGUGUGGAAAGCCCAGCAUUUGUUCUUUCACUUUAAAUAGAUGCGGAACCAAAAAGUUGCCAUGCCUGCCCCCACGAAACAGUAGCUGCACAUCACAGGGCUGCAAGAGCGGCCAGCACAGGAGGAAGGCAGGAGCCAGAACUGACAGAGAAGGACGCAGAGGCUGGGAAGCUGGGAGAACUUGGCCCAGCAGACUGAUGGAGAAUUGAGGACAGCAGAUUGCAGCAGGGAGGCCGGGAGGAGGCCGGUCCUGUAGUGUCGGCGUCCAGGACACUUGGUACUUAGGGAGAGCAGGAACUCAAAAGAGGGAUUCCCCAUCCUACUUCCCUAAAGCAUCUCAAGCUGGCCAUCUGUAUCAGAGGGAAGAAGACACUAGUGAACUUGACCUUUGUGGAACUGGAUCCCAGGGUACCCCGGUGAGGAUGCCUGGACUGCUUCUCUGGCUGCCAUGUCCUCUUAGAUCUCACUGACACCAUCCGUGUCCUGAGUUUCCUUCACAGGGGAACAGUUUGCUCAGUUCCUCGGACAGACAUGGUGAUGGUUAGCUUUAACUGUCAACAGAACACACUCUAGAGUCGCUGGGAAGAGAAUCUCCGUGAAGGACUGUCUGCAUCAGUAAUACUGGAAGACAGACAUACUUAUCAGAUGUCCUCUUAGGGAGUCCACAGUAUUUCAAGAAAUAAUUUGACCAGCUACAGGGAACACUGAGCGUGGUGACCUCAUCAUUUUCCUCAGCCAGCCCCGACCUCCUGAGAGGCCAUCAUGGAACGAUGAAGACAUGAAGACAAAAACUCUGACAUUCUUUCAUCAAGUGUUACAGGCCACUAUGUAUCACCUAGAAUGACGCCAUGUUUUGGAGAUGAAGAAAUGGAGAUUCAGAGAAGCUAAGCAACACACUUGCCUGUUGUCUCAGAACUAGUGACUCCAUGGGCUAAUGGCAAGCUCCUCAUCACAAUAUUGCUGAACAGUGUGAAAGGAGAAGGCAUCCACUAGAAUUCUGUAGCUCUUGAUUAUUUGGAGCAAAGAUCUAAGUUUUGUGUUGUGACAGUGGGUUUCAGAGUCUCAUAUAGCCCAAGUGAGCUAGUAGCUCAUAGGUCAGGAUGACCUUGAACUCCUGAUUCUCCCACUGAGAUGAUAGGCCUGUGUGCCAACAUCCCAUUUUAGGAGCUGCUGGAUAUUCAAACCCAGGUCCUCUGGUGUGCUAGGGCGGCGUUCUACCCUGAUAGCUCUAGCCUGUGGGAAAAGCAUUCCUUUUAAAGCCAGGUCACUUUCAAAUUUCUACCCAUUAGAGAGAUUUCUGAAGGUAGAAUCUGAGAUCAAAGAUGAUAAAUAUUUUUUUCAAUAUUCAUGUUACAUUUUGCCAAAGCCUCUUUUUAAAAAUCUUCGCCACUCUGGUAGGUGGGGACAUGCACUCUGGAUACUUACAGUAUGUGCUUUCUUUAGCUAUGAGGUCGAGUAUGAUCUGUGUUCAUUGGGUGUUUGCCUUUGUGCUCAUGUCCAUUGCCUGUGUUUGUAUUGCCCCUUUUCUUUUUUUUUUUUUUUUUUUGGUUUUUCGAGACAGGGUUUCUCUGUGUAGCUUUGCGCCUUUCCUGGGACUCACUUUGGAGACCAGGCUGGCCUCGAACUCACAGAAAUCUGCCUGGCUCUGCCUCCCGAGUGCUGGGAUUAAAGGCGUGCGCCACCACCGCCCGGCUGCCCCUUUUCUUAAUAUUUUGUAAGGUUUUCUUGUAAAAUAAGGACAGUGGCCCUUCCUUGCAGUGUCGAAAUCUUUCUGUCAGCAUGUGACUUCAGUUACCAUUGUUUAAUGUCGCUGGGGACCAUAAAUCCCUUUCUUUCUCUUCAUUUAUUCGACUGAUGUGGUACUUAGAAAGUAUCCAAAGUUGGGGUUUUCUCCUGAUUUUAAAAAGCUUUUGUUUGCUUGUAUGCCAAUCCAUCCGUAAUGCAUUUGACUAUUUCAGAGGUGGCUAUAAUUUUGACCUUUUACAAAUAACCAUUUCCCCUGCAUCACUUUUUGAAUAAAUCAUGUCUCUUCCCUCGUGGGUUCCCGUAUUUAGUGCUUCAAUGUCCGCAGUUGUCUGGGUUAAUUCUUGAGUUCUCUCUGUGUACUAAUGCUAUGCCUGCAGCAUUUCCAGCCGCUCUUCAAUCUCCCUUCCUACCAAAGCUCCUUCCUCCCCACCCCCUCUCCAAACCUCUCUUUGCUGUGCUGCCUUCUGCAUUUUUCCAGAUGAAGUUUGGCAUUCCCGUGCCACGUUCCUUUAAGAGAAGGAAAAUCCACAGUUAUUUUGAAGGAAAUUGGUUGGGUCUCUUAGCUGCGGCCUCCCUCACAGGGGAUCUUUCUGCCUGUACCCUCUUUGCCUGGGACUCCCUCUGUCACCUUGUGACUCCAGCUGCUGGCUUGAAUUGCCUUGCUCUCUCCUGGCUGGGCUGCGCUCCCCCUUCCGGGCUCAGCUCCAUUUACACCGGCGUCUGUGGGAGCAAAGGCAGCAGUUUCUGCUCAUCCUUUGCCAAGCAGCUGGACAUCCACCAGAGGCACUAAAGAAAAGAUAUUGUGGGACUGGGGACCAAGUGGACAUCCACCAGAGGCACUAAAGAAAAGAUGUUGUGGGACUGGGGACCAAGUGCUUGCCAUGAAAGCAUAUGGGCCUGAGUUGAUUCUAGAAUCCAUGUAAGAAGUACACGGAUCUGUAAUCCCAGCACUGGUGGGGCGGAGGCAGGGGGAUCCCUGGGUCUCCCUGGCAGCCAGCCUAGCCCAGUUGGUGAACUCCAGGUUUCUCCCAGUGAGAGACCCUGUCUUUUAUAAACAAGGCAGCGCCAAAUGAUGGUUCACAGGGAAAGGUGCCUGCUACCCAGCCUGAUGACUUGAGUUUUAUCCCUGAGACCCACCUGACAGAAGAGAAUCAAUUGCCACAAGCUGCUCUUCACGUGUGCAUGCUGGUCCUGUAUACCCACCCUCUCUCUCACACACGCACAUGCACACAUACACACACAAUAAAUAAAUUUUAAAAAUGAGGUAGAUGACUUGAGGAAUAACAUCCAACGUUGACCUCUAGCACACUCAUGCAUGCACACACACUAAAAAGAAAAUCUCUGCAAUGAGCCAGGUGGAGGUGGGCAGGGGCUGAGUUUCAUCCUGAUCUUUAGACAGCUUUGGUCUUAGAAGUUCAGCUGGGCUUCCCAACCUCAGAACACCCACCUGGCGACCCAUCUGAAAUCUCAUCGUGUCUAUCAACUUUCUGCUUGAUGCUAACGUUCUGAAGACCUCCCCUAUCCCAGUCCAUAGUGAGGGGACAUGAGAUGGUUAUGAAACUGAACUUCAGUUUUGACAGCAGAGCUUGAAUAAACAUUACCAUGCUUUGUUUCUCCAGAUCUGUUGCUAAAUCCAUUGCUUUCCACAAGUUAGAAGUCCAAUAAACAACUUCUGCCAUGCUCCA
Long non-coding RNA from Peromyscus californicus insignis, 4266 nucleotides. RefSeq lists it as uncharacterized. The record is from RefSeq and is a predicted model, not a curated record. The transcript has 8 exons. Lineage: Eukaryota; Metazoa; Chordata; Mammalia; Rodentia; Cricetidae.